Molecule: ribosomal RNA, 429 nt
Filed under: Chloroflexota bacterium
Lineage: Bacteria; Bacillati; Chloroflexota
Description: Chloroflexi bacterium partial 16S ribosomal RNA
Rfam family: Bacterial small subunit ribosomal RNA
Source: RNAcentral
UGGGGAAUAUUGCACAAUGGGCGCAAGCCUGAUGCAGCCAUGCCGCGUGUGUGAAGAAGGCCUUCGGGUUGUAAAGCACUUUCAGCGGGGAGGAAGGCGAUAAGGUUAAUAACCUUGUCGAUUGACGUUACCCGCAGAAGAAGCACCGGCUAACUCCGUGCCAGCAGCCGCGGUAAUACGGAGGGUGCAAGCGUUAAUCGGAAUUACUGGGCGUAAAGCGCACGCAGGCGGUUUGUUAAGUCAGAUGUGAAAUCCCCGGGCUCAACCUGGGAACUGCAUCUGAUACUGGCAAGCUUGAGUCUCGUAGAGGGGGGUAGAAUUCCAGGUGUAGCGGUGAAAUGCGUAGAGAUCUGGAGGAAUACCGGUGGCGAAGGCGGCCCCCUGGACGAAGACUGACGCUCAGGUGCGAAAGCGGGGGGAGCAAACAGG